CCUACGGGUGGCAGCAGUGAGGAAUAUUGGUCAAUGGCCGGAAGGCUGAACCAGCCAAGCCGCGUGAAGGACGAAGGUGCCAAGCAUUGUAAACUUCUUUUGUCAAGGAACAAAAUCAGGCUCGAGAGCCUGACCGAGGGUACUUGAAGAAAAAGCAUCGGCUAACUCCGUGCCAGCAGCCGCGGUAAUACGGGGGUUGCGAGCGUUAUCCGGAUUUAUUGGGUUUAAAGGGUGCGUAGGCGGACUGUUACGUCAGCGGUAAAAGCCCGGGACGCAACCCCGGCGAGCCGUUGAAACUGGCGGUCUUGAGAUGUCGAGAGGUAUGCGGAAUGCGCAGUGUAGCGGUGAAAUGCUUAGAUAUUGCGCAGAACUCCGAUUGCGAAGGCAGCAUACCGGCGGCGAUCUGACGCUGAGGCACGAAAGCGUGGGUAUCGAACAGGAUUAGAUACCCCGGUAGUC
Molecule: ribosomal RNA, 459 nt
Filed under: uncultured bacterium
Lineage: Bacteria
Description: partial 16S ribosomal RNA
Rfam family: Bacterial small subunit ribosomal RNA
Source: RNAcentral